This 317-nucleotide long non-coding RNA is filed under the name Elaeis guineensis (African oil palm). RNAcentral's name for it is "long non-coding RNA (EGUI_LNC031928)". Lineage: Eukaryota; Viridiplantae; Streptophyta; Magnoliopsida; Arecales; Arecaceae. The record is from RNAcentral.
GGUACAUGGGUAUAUAUAUAUAUAUAUAUAUAUAUAUUGUUACGUGAUAAAAUCUAUUUUCUACGAGAGCCGAUUGCAAUCUAAUUAAAAUAAUAAUCAAAUAGUAUAAUAAAAUUAAUAUUAAAAAUUAAUUUAAAAUUUACAGACUGAAGGCAUGCAAUGCAUUAUCUUAAGGCAUUUCUCAAUCCUCGUGUAGGAUUGGAUUCGAGAACUCUAUCUCAAGAUACAACCGAUGACCUUCUCUAUGGGCAUGACCGUAGAAAGGAUGAUAGAGCUUUAACCCAGUAGAUAAAAGAUCAAAUGAAUAGAUUAAGAAU